This 450-nucleotide ribosomal RNA is filed under the name uncultured bacterium. RNAcentral's name for it is "partial 16S ribosomal RNA". It matches the Rfam family "Bacterial small subunit ribosomal RNA", at positions 354 to 796 of the family's 1533-position model. The record is from RNAcentral.
GUGGGGAAUAUUGGACAAUGGGCGAAAGCCUGAUCCAGCCAUGCCGCGUGUGUGAAGAAGGUCUUCGGAUUGUAAAGCACUUUAAGUUGGGAGGAAGGGUAGUAACCUAAUACGUUGCUACUUUGACGUUACCGACAGAAUAAGCACCGGCUAACUUCGUGCCAGCAGCCGCGGUAAUACGAAGGGUGCAAGCGUUAAUCGGAAUUACUGGGCGUAAAGCGCGCGUAGGUGGUUCAGUAAGUUGGAAGUGAAAUCCCCGGGCUCAACCUGGGAACUGCUUUCAAAACUGCUGAGCUAGAGUACGGUAGAGGGUGGUGGAAUUUCCUGUGUAGCGGUGAAAUGCGUAGAUAUGCUACGGAACACCGAUUGCGAAGGCAGCUUACUAUUUCAUGAUUGACGCUGAGGUGCGAAAGCGUGGGGAGCAAACAGGAUUAGAAACCCGUGUAGUCC